RNAcentral lists this small nuclear RNA (107 nucleotides) under Mus caroli (Ryukyu mouse). Lineage: Eukaryota; Metazoa; Chordata; Mammalia; Rodentia; Muridae. The record is from RNAcentral.
GUGUUCACUUCAGCAGCACACAUACUAAAAUUAGAACUAUACAGAGAAGAUUAGCAUGGCCCCAGCACAAGGAUGACACACAAAUUCGUGAGGUGUUCCAUAUUUUA